UAAGGAGGAUGAUGAGACACGGAAUUAAUUUCCGAGGAAAGUCCGAACUCCACGAAGGAGAAUAGGAAAGUUAAUGACUUUUGAAGUAAUUCAAGGAAAGUACCACAGAAAUAUACCGCCAGUGAAUUCUGGUAAGGGUGAAAAAGUGAGGUAAGAGCUUACUAAAAUUAAGUAUUUAUUAAGGUAAACCCCCUAUGGAGCAAGUUAUAAAUUCUCUUAAGGUCCUCGCUUGAGAAUUGGUGAACGCAGAAAUCUUACAGUAAUGUAAGAUUAAGAUAGAUGUCUCUUAAAACAGAAUUCGGCUUACUUCUCCUUAUUUA
RNAcentral lists this RNase P RNA (320 nucleotides) under Ceratocystis platani. RNAcentral describes it as "Bacterial RNase P class A". It matches the Rfam family "Bacterial RNase P class A". Rfam says of the family: Ribonuclease P (RNase P) is a ubiquitous endoribonuclease, found in archaea, bacteria and eukarya as well as chloroplasts and mitochondria. Its best characterised activity is the generation of mature 5'-ends of tRNAs by cleaving the 5'-leader elements of precursor-tRNAs. Lineage: Eukaryota; Fungi; Ascomycota; Sordariomycetes; Microascales; Ceratocystidaceae. The record is from Rfam by way of RNAcentral.